RNAcentral lists this ribosomal RNA (254 nucleotides) under uncultured bacterium. RNAcentral describes it as "partial 16S ribosomal RNA". It matches the Rfam family "Bacterial small subunit ribosomal RNA", at positions 524 to 776 of the family's 1533-position model. The record is from RNAcentral.
UACGUAGGGGGCAAGCGUUGUCCGGAAUCAUUGGGCGUAAAGAGCGCGUAGGCGGCCCUGUAAGUCCGCUGUGAAAGUCAAGGGCUCAACCCUUGGAUGCCGGUGGAUACUGCAGGGCUAGAGUUCGGAAGAGGCGAGUGGAAUUCCUGGUGUAGCGGUGAAAUGCGCAGAUAUCAGGAGGAACACCGAUGGCGAAGGCAGCUCGCUGGGACGAUACUGACGCUGAGGCGCCGAAAGCGUGGGGAGCAAACAGG